RNAcentral lists this ribosomal RNA (1372 nucleotides) under uncultured bacterium. Its description in RNAcentral is "bacterial SSU rRNA". It matches the Rfam family "Bacterial small subunit ribosomal RNA", at positions 28 to 1381 of the family's 1533-position model. The record is from RNAcentral.
GAUGAACGCUGGCGGCGUGCCUAAUACAUGCAAGUCGAGCGAACGGACGAGAAGCUUGCUUUUCUGAUGUUAGCGGCGGACGGGUGAGUAACACGUGGAUAACCUACCUAUAAGACUGGGAUAACUUCGGGAAACUGGAGCUAAUACCGGAUAAUAUUUUGAACCGCAUGGUUCAAAAGUGAAAGACGGUCUUGCUGUCACUUAUAGAUGGAUCCGCGCUGCAUUAGCUAGUUGGUAAGGUAACGGCUUACCAAGGCAACGAUGCAUAGCCGACCUGAGAGGGUGAUCGGCCACACUGGAACUGAGACACGGUCCAGACUCCUACGGGAGGCAGCAGUAGGGAAUCUUCCGCAAUGGGCGAAAGCCUGACGGAGCAACGCCGCGUGAGUGAUGAAGGUCUUCGGAUCGUAAAACUCUGUUAUUAGGGAAGAACAUAUGUGUAAGUAACUGUGCACAUCUUGACGGUACCUAAUCAGAAAGCCACGGCUAACUACGUGCCAGCAGCCGCGGUAAUACGUAGGUGGCAAGCGUUAUCCGGAAUUAUUGGGCGUAAAGCGCGCGUAGGCGGUUUUUUAAGUCUGAUGUGAAAGCCCACGGCUCAACCGUGGAGGGUCAUUGGAAACUGGAAAACUUGAGUGCAGAAGAGGAAAGUGGAAUUCCAUGUGUAGCGGUGAAAUGCGCAGAGAUAUGGAGGAACACCAGUGGCGAAGGCGACUUUCUGGUCUGUAACUGACGCUGAUGUGCGAAAGCGUGGGGAUCAAACAGGAUUAGAUACCCUGGUAGUCCACGCCGUAAACGAUGAGUGCUAAGUGUUAGGGGGUUUCCGCCCCUUAGUGCUGCAGCUAACGCAUUAAGCACUCCGCCUGGGGAGUACGACCGCAAGGUUGAAACUCAAAGGAAUUGACGGGGACCCGCACAAGCGGUGGAGCAUGUGGUUUAAUUCGAAGCAACGCGAAGAACCUUACCAAAUCUUGACAUCCUUUGACAACUCUAGAGAUAGAGCCUUCCCCUUCGGGGGACAAAGUGACAGGUGGUGCAUGGUUGUCGCCAGCUCGUGUCGUGAGAUGUUGGGUUAAGUCCCGCAACGAGCGCAACCCUUAAGCUUAGUUGCCAUCAUUAAGUUGGGCACUCUAAGUUGACUGCCGGUGACAAACCGGAGGAAGGUGGGGAUGACGUCAAAUCAUCAUGCCCCUUAUGAUUUGGGCUACACACGUGCUACAAUGGACAAUACAAAGGGCAGCGAAACCGCGAGGUCAAGCAAAUCCCAUAAAGUUGUUCUCAGUUCGGACUGUAGUCUGCAACUCGACUACAUGAAGCUGGAAUCGCUAGUAAUCGUAGAUCAGCAUGCUACGGUGAAUACGUUCCCGGGUCU